AAACAAUAAUAAACAUCAAGUCAAGUGAGAACGGACUGAUCUCGCUGUCGGAAAAAACCGAUCCUCUAGUGAGGAAAAACGGAUCACGUCAUAAGAUCACACACAUGAUUGGAUCAUAGGAUUCAUCGGAUAUCAUAGACACUUCGGAUAGGACUAGUGUCCCGUCCUCUUGCCUAAUUAGUUCAUGCUAUUCCCCGAGUUUUACUUUCCCGAAUUUGAGUUUUAGUGACGCCCGGUUGUUGGAGCGUUGGAGUCGUGUUUGAAAUCAGUGAUGGAAACAGAAGUAGACAUGGAAAGGGACAUUUUGUGUUUGCUCAAAGUCAAGGGCACUCCUCACUUGACAGAGAAAAUUCUGAAUCUACUGGAUGCUCGCAGUUUGGCUAAUGCUGAGCUUGUGUGCACACAGUGGAGAUCCUUCAUUGCUGAUGAAAGGUGUUGGAAAAAGUUUCUGCUGUCAAAAGAAGUCACUAGCAUUCCAAAUAUUAUCAGUUAUUGGGCUAAACCUAAAAGCGGCGAGGAGUCUGGCGAACAUUACUGUAAAUCAGAAUGGUUGCGAAUCUUCCGUUUCUAUCAGAAAUUAGAAGCCAACUGGCGAACUGGCUCUUGCGGAGCGAAGACAGUUAGGAUUAUUAAUGAAGUGAUUUGUUUCUCCAUGAACGCCACCAAAAUAUUCACUGCCGAAUAUGAUAAAAACAAAUUUCUCAUCAAAACCUGGAACAGAAAUCUUCUAUAUUGCGAAGAGACAUUCCAAGACGAAGGCCAAUGGCAAUCGGUCAGCAUGGAUUGCGACAAUGAUAUCCUCGUCACAGCGUCGAUCAAGGGCGUUGGUGAUAGUUUCAUUGAUCCAAACGCAAAUUCUCUCGUAAAUUAUAACAUCAUUGUUCGUGAAAUAAAAACUGGAAAAGAGAUAAAAAAUAUUGUGGUCGGUCCGUCGCGUUAUUUCGGUCAGUAUGAAACUGCAUUUAAGGUCCGCGUUGGCCAUGGAUUGCUCAUCAGCCAUCAUCAUCAACUUCAAUCUCCACCUUCAUCUGAUAAUGUGGUAAAAUCCCGUCUGGAUGUAUGGCAAGUGACAAAAAUCAGAGAAGAAGGAACCAAGGAAGGAACAAACAACCUCUAUAUUGAAGUUAAACCGGUUGAACCUGCUGAUGGCGCUGUGCCCUUUCCUAACGUUCUCAUUUCCACUUCCCAACAAAGUUCUACUCAUCCAAUUUUCAUUGGCCAUGACAAAACUUAUAUCGUCGUUCACUACAACAACCCUCCUCGUUUUGAAGUCGUAUCGACGUCUUCUCUGAACCUCACCAGGACCAUCGACGCUUUCGAUUACUGUCCCAGUGCUAAGUUCAAGGACGGAUUGAUUGUGUCGGGAAGCACCGGCACCUCUGCCAUGAUCAGGUUGUGGGACGUCGAAACGGGUUCGUGCCUGCGGGAAAUACGAGAACCUUGGAUAUGUAGCGAUAUUAAACUAGUCGGACUCACUGCCAAUUAUCUAGUCACUGUCCCGGGUCAUCCAGACAACAGGGAAAUGAAAAUCCGCGAUCUCAGCUCUGCCAUGGCUAAUAGUCAGACGUCCGAUUUGACAUUUCUUGCAACGCGUGAAGUGAAGUCGACAAGAUCCUCCCUAUUAUCCUGUUGUAUUGCGGAUCGAUGUGCUGGUGAAAUUAUUUACCCCCCCCCCCCCCCCAAGAAAAAACUGGAGAAGUGGAAAUUUGUGGAGAGAAUUUCAAUUUUGCAAGUUCUUAGCAGUUCUUAGUGCCAUUAUUCAUCCCUUCAGCCAGCUAUUACACAUCACCCAACCUUGUAAGUCCACUAAACCCAGCUAAAAUAAAAAUGUUUUCCGUUAAACCAUUUUCAUUUUUUAGAUAUUGUGUGGUCCAUUUCUUGCUAUUCGAUACUCUGAAACACAGCUGGGUAAAAGUGUGCAUUCAUUGAGUGAUCUAUUAAAUAGGUUGCAAGUGGAAUUACGUUCAUCGAUUGUCUAAUUAUAUACCAAACCGAACGCCCCCAAUAAUUCAGAUGUGAUUAAAUUUUAAAAAUAGUUUGUUCUCGUCUCAUUUCCUUAAAAUAAUUUAACGACUUAAAGAAAUGCCCUAGAAAUAUACGACAGAUUGCAUCACAUCCAGAUGGUGGUGAAACCUCAUAAGACCUGGUGAAAGAGAAGACAGCUCAAUCGCACAGACAAAGCGAAAUAAGACAUGGUCGAGAUACUGGGCUAUGUGAAAAAGGCGAACACAAGCCACCGCUAAAAGCUAAAGACGACAUAAUUUUGUGUAUAACUCUAAAUAAAGUGAAGUGAAAUAAUAUUUCUAUUGCACAGCAGAAAAUACAGAUUUUCGAUGGAUUUACCAACCCACUUUAACGGGUUAGUCUAAAUCGGUCUAAAAAUGGCUAUUAUUACUUUAUUAGCUAUAAUAAUCCAGCGGAUGUGAUCUCACCUGUCAAUCAAAUGGCGAUCAAGUUCACUUCAAAUGGUGAAAAUAUUACGGAAUGCGACGCAUCAAAAGCAACACCUGUGACGUGAUGGCAAGCGAAAUUUAACUUCAUUUGAAAAAGAGUUUUACUUUCAUAAUAGUAUCAUGAUCGUAUUGCUUUACCAUUUUUUGUGUAAAAUAACCUUCCGUGAAUUCAUUCUAAAUGUGUAUCUUAAAUGUCGCAAAAGAUACAAAA
Daphnia pulex (common water flea) is the source of this 2664-nucleotide RNA transcript. It is a transcript of the gene named F-box and WD repeat domain-containing 11-B-like, with no coding region annotated. NCBI's taxonomy places the organism in Eukaryota, Metazoa, Arthropoda, Branchiopoda, Diplostraca, Daphniidae. The transcript is spliced from 11 exons. The record is from RefSeq and is a predicted model, not a curated record.